GCAGAGAACCACACACACACACCUGAGACGCCCCCGCCCGCCCGCCCCAGAGCAGAGAGCUGUCCUAGACGGCUUCGGCCCGUGUUGACCGGGAUAGACCCCUCGAAGGCGAGGAAGGCUACCGGACCUGGAGAGACCGCGCGCUCAGGAGAGGCAACCCCCUUUUCUUGGCUACCGGAAGGAUUGAGGGCCCUUGUAUUGUUGGUCCAUGAUCUCUUUCCAAAAUUAGCAACCCCAUCUUUGUCACCAAGUAGGUAAGGACCAUCAGUCCCCACAACCUGUCCCUGACUA
This 291-nucleotide long non-coding RNA is filed under the name Phascolarctos cinereus (koala). Its description in RNAcentral is "lncRNA (ENSPCIG00000034253.1)". Lineage: Eukaryota; Metazoa; Chordata; Mammalia; Diprotodontia; Phascolarctidae. The record is from RNAcentral.